UUCGAUGCAACGCGAAGAACCUUACCAAGGCUUGACAUACACCGGUAACGCCCAGAGAUGGGUGCCCCUUUGUGGUCGGUGUACAGGUGGUGCAUGGUUGUCGUCAGCUCGUGUCGUGAGAUGUUGGGUUAAGUCCCGCAACGAGCGCAACCCUCGUCCUAUGUUGCCAGCGGGUCAUGCCGGGGACUCAUGGGAGACUGCCGGGGUCAACUCGGAGGAAGGUGGGAUGACGUCAAAUCAUCAUGCCCCUUAUGUCUUGGGCUUCACGCAUGCUACAAUGGCCGGUACAAAGGGCUGCGAUACCGCGAGGUGGAGCGAAUCCCAGAAAGCCGGUCUCAGUUCGGAUUGGGGUCUGCAACUCGACUGCGUGAAGUCGGAAUCGCUAGUAAUCGUGGAUCAGCAUGUCACGGUGAAUACGUUCCCGGGUCUU
This 430-nucleotide ribosomal RNA is filed under the name uncultured Curtobacterium sp. Its description in RNAcentral is "bacterial SSU rRNA". It matches the Rfam family "Bacterial small subunit ribosomal RNA", at positions 950 to 1382 of the family's 1533-position model. The record is from RNAcentral. Lineage: Bacteria; Bacillati; Actinomycetota; Actinomycetes; Micrococcales; Microbacteriaceae.